This 1616-nucleotide long non-coding RNA is filed under the name Homo sapiens (human). RNAcentral's name for it is "non-protein coding lnc-SYT10-3:5". The record is from RNAcentral. Lineage: Eukaryota; Metazoa; Chordata; Mammalia; Primates; Hominidae.
CUGCUCAGUACGAGAGGAACCGCAGGUUCAGACAUUUUGUGUAUGUGCUUGGCUUUGUUGGCCUUGGAUAGGCGGUCCUCUGCCGUCCCCUCCGGCGGGCCGCUCUGCCUCAGGAGGGGCAUGUCCCGCCAUGCGCCGGGAACCAGGAUCCGGUGCAGAGAGCCCCUCAUCGUAGGAAAUGGGCUGCUGCCAGAAGGGCGGUCACCCCCUGACCCAUCACAUAACGUGUUUUUGGGGAACCGGAUGCUAAACUAUUUGUAGACAUCCUGCUUCUGGGUCAGGGUUUUCUAUGGAGCAGAGCAGCUCCCUCGCUGCGAUCUAUUGAAAGUCAAACCUCCACACAAGGUUCCCUGCACCCGUGCGCGGGGGACCUGGUGAUGUGGCGUGUCCUGUGUAAUUCAGCCCUUGACGUCUACCUUCCUUCCUUUCUCCUGUUAUACCCGGAACCUAGUUUCCUCGCCCGCUCAUGCCCACCGGACCCGGAGCCCCGAAGCACGCAGCAGGUGUCCCUCCCGAGAGACCACUGGUGCCCGCUGUGUCUUCGGGAGGCGCCCGUCCCCAUCUGCGGGCUUUCCAAGGUGCUGUGCUGGGGUUUGCCGAGGUAGGGGUGUCGCCCAUGCUCGUCGUUCCCUCUCCAAUUCCGCCUCCUUCCUGCACCCCGCUUUGACCUCCUUCAGGGGCUGGGAUCGGAUUUAUCGGGCCUGGUGAGAAUGGCUGAGGCGUGGGUGUCAGAGGGUGUGCCCCUGUGGUUCCUGUCCGAGUAGUGUUCACGCAUGCCCAGUGGUGGCCACUGGGGUCACGGCCCCUCUACCCGCCCCAGGCGCGCGGGAAUGGGACAGGAGCCAGUCACUGCCUUUCUGUCUUUCCUCCUCUCUCCGCAGCCCGGGUCAACCAGCCGACGGUGGCGGAACGGCGGGCAGGUCGGCGGAGUUAGAUGGCCGCAAAGUCUUCCUCUGUUGCCCAGGCUGGAGUGCAGUGGUGAGAUCUCGGGGAAAAACGUGGCCGGCCGGAGUCCUCCCACAGACGACAGUGCCUUCCCGGCAGCAUCUCCGCCGGGCCCAAGAGGGUCGUGGAGUCGCUGGCUUCCUCCCAGGAACCCAGAGUUGAUCUCUACACCACGCCAUCACUGCCAGGGGUGAGGAAAUUCUGGCACCAGUGAUUCAGCACUGUUUUUUUCUCUCUCUUCAGUGCCUCUUUCAGUGAUAUGAAGUUAAAACCAGAUACCCAGCCGUGGGAUUGCUAGAUCAGACAGAGCCAAUUGAUGAUCAGCAGGGCCUGAAAAUGCCAAAACCCUGAAACAACUGACCUUCGAAAACUUCAACAUCCCUGAACGAAACGUCCAAACACAUUUAUCCACCAAUCAAAGACCCUUUAUAGUCUGUGCUCUGUGCAUCUCAGAAGUCUCUCUUUACCACACUGUCUAUAUACUGCAUGAGCCAUUAUAUGAAACUCCAAGGCAUCUUAUACUAUAUAUUCAACCAUGUAUCCCUAGUACCUAGUACAGUCCUGCCAUAUAGUUUGCUACUAAACAUUUGCAGAAUGAAGUAAUUAUCUUGUAUCCAGGUUCCAAGUUUUAAGGUGAUUUCUCACUAAAAAUAAAGCAUUACAGUUCGCAA